Molecule: ribosomal RNA, 253 nt
Filed under: uncultured bacterium
Lineage: Bacteria
Description: partial 16S ribosomal RNA
Rfam family: Bacterial small subunit ribosomal RNA
Source: RNAcentral
UACGGGGGGGGCAAGCGUUGUUCGGAAUUACUGGGCGUAAAGGGCUUGUAGGUGGCCAACUAAGUCAGACGUGAAAUCCCUCGGCUUAACCGGGGAACUGCGUCUGAUACUGGAUGGCUCGAGUGUGGGAGAGGGAUGCGGAAUUCCAGGUGUAGCGGUGAAAUGCGUAGAUAUCUGGAGGAACACCGGUGGCGAAGGCGGCAUCCUGGACCAUAACUGACACUGAAAAGCGAAAGCCAGGGGAGCAAACGGG